UACAGAGGUCUCAACCGUUGUUCGGAUUCAUUGGGCGUAAAGGGUGCGUAGGCGGUCGGGUAAGUCGGAUGUGAAAUCCCAGGGCUCAACCCUGGAACUGCAUUCGAUACUGCCUGGCUAGGGUACUGGAGAGGAUGGUGGAAUUCCCGGUGUAGCGGUGAAAUGCGUAGAGAUCGGGAGGAACACCAGUGGCGAAGGCGGCCAUCUGGCUCAACAUUGACGCUGAGGCACGAAAGCGUGGGGAGCAAACAGG
This 253-nucleotide ribosomal RNA is filed under the name uncultured bacterium. RNAcentral's name for it is "partial 16S ribosomal RNA". It matches the Rfam family "Bacterial small subunit ribosomal RNA", at positions 524 to 776 of the family's 1533-position model. The record is from RNAcentral.